GCGGAUGUGGUGGAAUUGGCAGACACGUCGGAUUUAGGUUCCGAUGCCAAAAGCGUGCAGGUUCAAGUCCUGUCAUCCGCA
Molecule: transfer RNA, 81 nt
Filed under: Oscillospiraceae bacterium
Lineage: Bacteria; Bacillati; Bacillota; Clostridia; Eubacteriales; Oscillospiraceae
Description: tRNA-Leu
Rfam family: tRNA
About the family: Transfer RNA (tRNA) molecules are approximately 80 nucleotides in length. Their secondary structure includes four short double-helical elements and three loops (D, anti-codon, and T loops). Further hydrogen bonds mediate the characteristic L-shaped molecular structure. tRNAs have two regions of fundamental functional importance: the anti-codon, which is responsible for specific mRNA codon recognition, and the 3' end, to which the tRNAs corresponding amino acid is attached (by aminoacyl-tRNA synthetases). tRNAs cope with the degeneracy of the genetic code in two manners: having more than one tRNA (with a specific anti-codon) for a particular amino acid; and 'wobble' base-pairing, i.e. permitting non-standard base-pairing at the 3rd anti-codon position.
Source: RNAcentral